ACUGACGGAGCAACGCCGCGUGAACGAUGAAGGCCUUCGGGUCGUAAAGUUCUGUUGUUAGGAAGAACAAGUAUCGGAGUAACUGCCGGUACCUUGACGGUACCUAACCAGAAAGCCACGGCUAACUACGUGCCAGCAGCCGCGGUAAUACGUAGGUGGCAAGCGUUGUCCGGAAUUAUUGGGCGUAAAGCGCGCGCAGGCGGUUCCUUAAGUCUGAUGUGAAAGCCCCCGGCUCAACCGGGGAGGGUCAUUGGAAACUGGGGAACUUGAGUACUGAAGAGGAAAGCGGAAUUCCACGUGUAGCGGUGAAAUGCGUAGAGAUGUGGAGGAACACCAGUGGCGAAGGCGGCUUUCUGGUCAGUAACUGACGCUGAGGCGCGAAAGACGUGGGAGCAAACAGGAUUAGAUACCCUGGUAGUCCACGCCGUAAACGAUGAGUGCUAAGUGUUAGAGGGUUUCCGCCCUUUAGUGCUGCAGCAAACGCAUUAAGCACUCCGCCUGGGGAGUACGGUCGCAAGACUG
Molecule: ribosomal RNA, 522 nt
Filed under: uncultured Bacillota bacterium
Lineage: Bacteria; Bacillati; Bacillota
Description: bacterial SSU rRNA
Rfam family: Bacterial small subunit ribosomal RNA
Source: RNAcentral